This 1032-nucleotide long non-coding RNA is filed under the name Salmo salar (Atlantic salmon). Its description in RNAcentral is "lncRNA (ENSSSAG00000097362.1)". The record is from RNAcentral. Lineage: Eukaryota; Metazoa; Chordata; Actinopteri; Salmoniformes; Salmonidae.
ACAACUUGCAGACUUGUUUACGCUGCUGUGCGUUUUUGUUGCCGAUCUUACUUUGAUACCUGACGGUUUUUUACUUUUUCAUUACCGUAUAUUUUUACUUUUUCCCUCACUCAACUUUUUUCCUCACUCAACUUUUUUCAUUCAUCCCCGGAGGUUUUAUCUGGACAUGGUUCGUCAGGACUUCAAACAGCCGAAGCUAAGUAACAUUAACAUGAUGCCUUCUAAUUGCAGUCGUUGUACUUAUAAUAUACAGGAGAACGAUCGCCUUACGGCAAGGAUAGCUGUGCUGCAAGCCCAGCUUCAGACGCGAUCGUUAGGCAAGGGUAAUUUCAGUGUAGGAAAGGAUGAAACAGCGUCUGUGCCACCAGUAAGUACAGAUAGUAACGUUAGUAUAAACCCCCUCGCACGGUCCCCGCAGCCGGACAUCUUUCUCAUGGCUUCUGGAGGGAAACGCUGUAGGAAUGCUCAACCGGUGUCGCUUAUUCAGCCGACAGAAACUUUCAACCGGUUCUCCCCAUUAAGCGAGUCGGAGUCGGAGGCCGAGACUUCUCUGGUCUCUACUCCUCCCGUUGUGGGGUCUGAGACGCCGACGGCUCCCACCAUUAGCUCUGACAAAUUGAAAACCCUAGUCAUUGGCGACUCCAUUACCCGCAGUAUUAGACUUAAAACUAAUCAUCCAGCGAUCAUACACUGUUUACCAGGGGCAGGGCUACCGACGUUAAGGCUAAUCUAAAGACGGUGCUGGCUAAAGCUAAAACUGGCGAGUGUAGAGAGUAUAGAGAUAUUGUUAUCCACGUCGGCACCAACGAUGUUAGGAUGAAACAGUCAGAGGUCACCAAGCGCAACAUAACUUCAGCGUGUAACUUAGCUAAAAAGAUGUGUGGCCAUCGAGUAAUUGUCCUUGGCCCCCUCUCAGUUAGGGGGAAGUAGAGCAGACUCCCACAACUCAAUCUCUGGUUGAAAACUGUUUUCUUCCCCUCCCAAAAUAUAUAAUUUGUAGAACUGGCCCUUUAUCUGGGACCAAGUCUAGCC